AAUCUGGCAUUUUUUUCACACACUGUGAUUUCUCUCUCUCUCAACUCCAUUUCUCUCUCUCAAAUCCUUUCACUGCUAUGUGUUUUCUCCAUGUCUCAACCUUAAUCCUCAUCAUCUAACCAUUCUCCUCCGCUUCAUCCCGAUUUCUUCUUCAUCCCGUUUUUUCGAAGGCAUUCAUACUGUUCCCUUCUUUCAACAUGGGCAGGUCGUGAUCUUCUCAGAGCAAUCAUAGACAAUCAGUUCGCAAUUCAGUUUCUCGUGGCCUCAUCGACUCAAGUAAAGUCAUCUUUGGUGCAAAUUUAGGGUUUCUGUUCUACAAACCCUUGAUAUGUGGUUUCUCACCGAGACUGUGCCUCUGUUCCGCGUUUACAUCCAGUGAUCCUCUCAACGUCCUUACUAGCUGCCCACCUUUUCAUUUCCACUUUCAAGCUGCAGCAAUAGAGGUUGGGGAAUGAAGCCAUUAUUUGAGAUCCCUUCAAUUUCUCUUCAAAUUAGCCAACAUAUACGUCACGCUUAUCUGCAUAAGCUUGCCAUUUCAGCCGCAAGAUGUGUUCACCGUUUCAUCGAUCGAUGUUGCUAUCACCCUUAACCGUAAUUCUUCAAGCACAUAUAUUUCCCCCUAAUUUUGGAGCUGAUUGAAAGUGGCAAAGAUGGAAUCCUGUAAAUUUCUCUUCAAAUUAGGCAAUUGGAUUUGAUGACGUUAGGGACACGAUGAGACUAUUGUUCAUAUGAUCGAAAAGAAAGGGAUAUUGUGAAAGAUGAAUUCUAGCAAGGCAGUGGCUUACUGAUCUGGCUUAUGGUAUGUCAGCUGUUUGAUUAUCUGCAAUGGAGAAAUUCUGCUCUCUCUAUUUGUUCUGGUCACUGCCAACUUUUCAGUAUAAUAUGUGUAUUCCAGUUUCAUAGGCUUUCUAUUUCUUUUUUAUUUAUACAUUUCCUCUAAAAAAAAUUACAACCUAAUUAUGUUCUUUUCAUAUUAGGAAGGACAAAUUCAUCUUUGUAUUAGAAAGUCUUUGGUAAAAAACUUUAAUUUUCAAACAGUUUAUUUUUCUUCGUUAUAAA
Long non-coding RNA from Lotus japonicus, 1059 nucleotides. RefSeq lists it as uncharacterized. The transcript is spliced from 5 exons. NCBI's taxonomy places the organism in Eukaryota, Viridiplantae, Streptophyta, Magnoliopsida, Fabales, Fabaceae. The record is from RefSeq and is a predicted model, not a curated record.